GUGGCGUAUGCCGCCGUCGCAUCGCAAGUCGAGCGGACAGAAGGGAGCUUGCUCCCGGAUGUUAGCGGCGGACGGGUGAGUAACACGUGGGUAACCUGCCUGUAAGACUGGGAUAACUCCGGGAAACCGGAGCUAAUACCGGAUAGUUCCUUGAACCGCAUGGUUCAAGGAUGAAAGACGGUUUCGGCUGUCACUUACAGAUGGACCCGCGGCGCAUUAGCUAGUUGGUGGGGUAAUGGCUCACCAAGGCGACGAUGCGUAGCCGACCUGAGAGGGUGAUCGGCCACACUGGGACUGAGACACGGCCCAGACUCCUACGGGAGGCAGCAGUAGGGAAUCUUCCGCAAUGGACGAAAGUCUGACGGAGCAACGCCGCGUGAGUGAUGAAGGUUUUCGGAUCGUAAAGCUCUGUUGUUAGGGAAGAACAAGUGCGAGAGUAACUGCUCGCACCUUGACGGUACCUAACCAGAAAGCCACGGCUAACUACGUGCCAGCACCCGCGGUAAUACGUAGGUGGCAAGCGUUGUCCGAAAUUAUUGGGCGUAAAGGGC
RNAcentral lists this ribosomal RNA (551 nucleotides) under Bacillus safensis. Its description in RNAcentral is "bacterial SSU rRNA". It matches the Rfam family "Bacterial small subunit ribosomal RNA", at positions 39 to 568 of the family's 1533-position model. The record is from RNAcentral. Lineage: Bacteria; Bacillati; Bacillota; Bacilli; Caryophanales; Bacillaceae.